AUUCAGAGAGUAAAAUCACUAGAAGGGAGAAGGCCUGGAAUUAGUAUAAAACUGUGGACAUCCUACCACUAACACUAAGUAGAGCGUUCGCAAUACUACAGCUUAAAAAUGAAAUUCGUGGGUUUGAUUCUUAUCCUAGCAUUGGUAGCUUUUCAAGUAGCGUACUGUGCUGAUUGCGUGUGCGUUGAGAAACCACCAUGUGCUAAGGGAUUUAAACCAAUCGAGCCAUGCACUACCGCCGACGGCAAAUCUGGAGCCAAGUGCUGUCCGGAAUAGUAGGUAGCAGCAAUGCUUUCCAGCACAUUUAGAUGGGAGAAAAACACAGUCUACACACAAUUUUUUUUAUUAAUAUGUUAUACUUAACUUGACUGUGUAAUUAACAAAUUGUUAGCCAAUUGAAUAAAAUAUAUAUUAAAAA
Photinus pyralis (common eastern firefly) is the source of this 418-nucleotide long non-coding RNA. RefSeq lists it as uncharacterized. The record is from RefSeq and is a predicted model, not a curated record. Lineage: Eukaryota; Metazoa; Arthropoda; Insecta; Coleoptera; Lampyridae. The transcript has 2 exons.